This 216-nucleotide ribosomal RNA is filed under the name Triticum aestivum (bread wheat). RNAcentral's name for it is "partial small subunit ribosomal RNA". The record is from RNAcentral. Lineage: Eukaryota; Viridiplantae; Streptophyta; Magnoliopsida; Poales; Poaceae.
AUGCUUGAGCACUGCUUCCUAAGAGCAGCGUCUCUGAGACUGAGUUGGGUAGGAGCAAGCAGUUGGAUUGGCCUGACUCUUCAAGACCAAAGAUACUCGGCUUCCUCUUCAUCAAGUCACGAAAUUCGACCCUUAGUUAGCAGCACCAAAAUUAGAGCAGGCCCCAGACAAGCAAGAACAGAUAAAAGCCACCAAGCCUACGAGACCAAAGCAUGA